This 632-nucleotide ribosomal RNA is filed under the name uncultured Vibrio sp. Its description in RNAcentral is "bacterial SSU rRNA". It matches the Rfam family "Bacterial small subunit ribosomal RNA", at positions 56 to 669 of the family's 1533-position model. Lineage: Bacteria; Pseudomonadati; Pseudomonadota; Gammaproteobacteria; Vibrionales; Vibrionaceae. The record is from RNAcentral.
UGCAGUCGAGCGGAACGAGUUAACUGACCCUUCGGGUGACGUUAACGGCGUCGAGCGGCGGACGGGUGAGUAAUGCCUGGGAAAUUGCCCUGAUGUGGGGGAUAACCAUUGGAAACGAUGGCUAAUACCGCAUAAUGCCUUCGGGCCAAAGAGGGGGACCUUCGGGCCUCUCGCGUCAGGAUAUGCCCAGGUGGGAUUAGCUAGUUGGUGAGGUAAUGGCUCACCAAGGCGACGAUCCCUAGCUGGUCUGAGAGGAUGAUCAGCCACACUGGAACUGAGACACGGUCCAGACUCCUACGGGAGGCAGCAGUGGGGAAUAUUGCACAAUGGGCGCAAGCCUGAUGCAGCCAUGCCGCGUGUGUGAAGAAGGCCUUCGGGUUGUAAAGCACUUUCAGCAGUGAGGAAGGCGGAUACGUUAAUAGCGUAUUCGUUUGACGUUAGCUGCAGAAGAAGCACCGGCUAACUCCGUGCCAGCAGCCGCGGUAAUACGGAGGGUGCGAGCGUUAAUCGGAAUUACUGGGCGUAAAGCGCAUGCAGGUGGUUCGUUAAGUCAGAUGUGAAAGCCCGGGGCUCAACCUCGGAACUGCAUUUGAAACUGGCGGACUAGAGUACUGUAGAGGGGGGUAGAAUUU